CUCAUCUACCAGCAGAAUGUGAUCAACACUACUCUGACAAUUUACACAAACAAGAAGUGACCACUUUAAAGACAGAAUGCCAAGAACAAUACAAUAAAUGCUAAAGAGAAAGAGUGACAAUAGUGAGCAACUACAGAUAAUGCAGUCAUGGAACCAGAAAAAGAGAUUCACAGCCUUACAUCAGGGGAAGGAUUUUGGCAGGUGUCUGAAAAUGUGUCUCGAAACAUCUCUGUAGACAAGACUGAGAAAGUUCCUUAAGUAUUAUAGACGUGAUCCUAAGGAAGACAGAAGCAGCCCAAGGCCAACUUAGAAUCAUAAGAAAAUCACGGGCACCGCAUCCACGUUUUGAAAAUCUGUUCCUUACCAAGCACACUGCUAAGCCGCCUAUCCACCUUACCACUAUAUGGUAGUUAAAAGCACAGACUUAAAAACCAGAAGGACUGGCGUCUCACUCUACAUCUACCACUUACUAGCUGUGUUUCCUUAGGCAAAUUAUCUGACCCCCAUGCAGCUCAGGCACUUGGUAGGUACUGUCUAUGUUUUGGCUUUUAUUAUUAACUCAUUUAAUGUUUCUAAAAAUCACCCAUUGAAACCUAUUCUUU
Long non-coding RNA from Gorilla gorilla gorilla (western lowland gorilla), 602 nucleotides. RefSeq lists it as uncharacterized. The record is from RefSeq and is a predicted model, not a curated record. The transcript has 3 exons. NCBI's taxonomy places the organism in Eukaryota, Metazoa, Chordata, Mammalia, Primates, Hominidae.